ACUCCUACGGGAGGCAGCAGUGGGGAAUCUUAGACAAUGGGGGAAAGCCCUCGAUCUAGCCAUGCCGCGUGAGCGAUGAAGGCCUUAGGGUUGUAAAGCUCUUUCAGCUGGGAAGAUUAAUGACGGUGACCAGCAGAAGAAGGCCCCGGCUAACUCCGUGCCAGCAGCCGCGGUAAUACGGAGGGGCUAGCGUUGUUCGGAAUUACUGGGCGUAAAGCGCACGUAGGCGGAUUGGUAAGUUGGGGGUGAAAUCCCGGGGCUCAACCCCGGAACUGCCUCCAAAACUCCC
Molecule: ribosomal RNA, 289 nt
Filed under: uncultured bacterium
Lineage: Bacteria
Description: partial 16S ribosomal RNA
Rfam family: Bacterial small subunit ribosomal RNA
Source: RNAcentral